GUACCGUGAGGGAAAGAUGAAAAGAACUUUGAAAAGAGAGUUAAACAGUACGUGAAAUUGUUGAAAGGGAAACGAUUGAAGUCAGUCAUACCAACGGGAAAUCAACCUUUUGAGCUUGGUCUCGUGGGUUUUGAAGAGUUUCAAAGCCUUCGGAUUCGCGGGAUUGGGAUCUCUUGGUGUACUUUUUCGUACGGUUAGUCAACAUCGGUUUUGAAUGUCAUAAAAUGACUGGAGGAAUGUAGCUUCGAUCUCGUAUUGAAGUGUUAUAGCCUUUGGUAGAUGUGAUGUUUGAGACCGAGGAUUGCAACGGAUACCCUUCAGGGCUAUUCGUCUGAUCUCUGAUACGUUGCCUUGAUGUUGAAAGCUUGCUUAUGAUGUUAGGGUAUUACGGUCAAAAGGUUAGAACGAAUUACAUUCGUUAAGG
RNAcentral lists this ribosomal RNA (424 nucleotides) under Funneliformis mosseae. RNAcentral describes it as "eukaryotic LSU rRNA". It matches the Rfam family "Eukaryotic large subunit ribosomal RNA", at positions 348 to 637 of the family's 3401-position model. Lineage: Eukaryota; Fungi; Glomeromycota; Glomeromycetes; Glomerales; Glomeraceae. The record is from RNAcentral.